Telopea speciosissima is the source of this 160-nucleotide long non-coding RNA. RefSeq lists it as uncharacterized. NCBI's taxonomy places the organism in Eukaryota, Viridiplantae, Streptophyta, Magnoliopsida, Proteales, Proteaceae. The transcript has 3 exons. The record is from RefSeq and is a predicted model, not a curated record.
GCCCCAGCCCUUCCCAGUGCUUCUGGUAUACCCUAUAACAAUAUAGGAAAUGUUCAUUAAGGCCACUUGUUUGCAAGAGCACAAUAAAUAAAUACCAACUCUUUAUGUGUCCCCAUGGUUCAAAUAAUUAUUUUAUACUAAUCAUUGUUAAGCAUGUGAU